AAACCAUGAUGAGGACACUCUAAGAGAAGAUCCUUAAAACGUUCCAUACAGCUAGAAAAUGAUUCAUUAGGUUUUUGACAAAAUUGGAGAAUGUCGUUCCUAAGUUU
Small nucleolar RNA from Cephalotus follicularis, 107 nucleotides. It matches the Rfam family "Plant small nucleolar RNA R71". From Rfam's summary of the family: R71 is a member of the C/D box family of snoRNAs containing the C (UGAUGA) and D (CUGA) box motifs. Multiple nearly identical copies of this snoRNA have been identified in Arabidopsis, and it is thought to function as a 2'-O-ribose methylation guide for 18S ribosomal RNA. Lineage: Eukaryota; Viridiplantae; Streptophyta; Magnoliopsida; Oxalidales; Cephalotaceae. The record is from Rfam.